Molecule: ribosomal RNA, 694 nt
Filed under: uncultured bacterium
Lineage: Bacteria
Description: bacterial SSU rRNA
Rfam family: Bacterial small subunit ribosomal RNA
Source: RNAcentral
GGAUAACGUUUGGAAACGAACGCUAAUACCGCAUGAUAUUAUUGAGCUGCAUGGCUUGAUAAUCAAAGGAGCAAUCCGCUGAAAGAUGGGCUCGCGUCCGAUUAGGUAGUUGGCGGGGCAACGGCCCACCAAGCCGACGAUCGGUAGCCGGACUGAGAGGUUGAACGGCCACAUUGGGACUGAGACACGGCCCAGACUCCUACGGGAGGCAGCAGUGAGGGAUAUUGGUCAAUGGGGGAAACCCUGAACCAGCAACGCCGCGUGAGGGAAGACGGUUUUCGGAUUGUAAACCUCUGUCCUCUGUGAAGAUAAUGACGGUAGCAGAGGAGGAAGCUCCGGCUAACUACGUGCCAGCAGCCGCGGUAAUACGUAGGGAGCAAGCGUUGUCCGGAUUUACUGGGUGUAAAGGGUGCGUAGGCGGCUUUGCAAGUCAGAAGUGAAAUCCAUGGGCUUAACCCAUGAACUGCUUUUGAAACUGCAGAGCUUGAGUGGAGUAGAGGUAGGCGGAAUUCCCGGUGUAGCGGUGAAAUGCGUAGAGAUCGGGAGGAACACCAGUGGCGAAGGCGGCCUGCUGGGCUCUAACUGACGCUGAGGCACGAAAGCGUGGGUAGCAAACAGGAUUAGAUACCCUGGUAGUCCACGCUGUAAACGAUGAUUAGUAGGUGUGGGUGGACUGACCCCAUCCGUGCCGGAG